Molecule: non-coding RNA, 124 nt
Organism: Brachypodium distachyon (stiff brome)
Lineage: Eukaryota; Viridiplantae; Streptophyta; Magnoliopsida; Poales; Poaceae
Source: Rfam
AAAAUACUCCCUCCGUCCCAUAUUAAGUGACUAAAAUUUUCCCAAAUAUGGAUGUAUCUAUCCUAAAAGGCGUCUAGAUACAUGUAAUAGAAAGUCACUUAAUAUGGGACGGAGGGAGUACAAA